This is a long non-coding RNA of Onychostruthus taczanowskii (white-rumped snowfinch), 668 nucleotides long. RefSeq lists it as uncharacterized. The transcript has 4 exons. The record is from RefSeq and is a predicted model, not a curated record. Lineage: Eukaryota; Metazoa; Chordata; Aves; Passeriformes; Passeridae.
AGCAGUGGUAUCACACAUGGUAGGACACACUGAGGAAAUCUUCGUGUUUGCCUGCAAAACUUGUCAUUGGGACAGUCUGUUGGAAUAAUUACUCCUUGUUAUUAUGCAAAUGUUUUUAUCAAGGACAAUUCUUUUAAAGCUUUGUUAUUUUAAAUUGUCAGUUGACAUUUUGGGUAAGACAAAUCUUCAUUCUUGUCUCCAGAACUAAGGUAAAUUGUGAAGCAAAAGAGUCUCAUAAUUGUACCAGAACUGGGCAUAUACAUGUCUCCUGCAACACCAUGACUUAUAAUGGAAUUCUGUGAAGGAUUGACCUGAAGUUUUAUUCUUGAGUAGUGAAGACAAACUGUUGAGAGAUUCAAGAUUGGGAGUUUCAAGAUUUACUUCUAAUACCUAAUAUGCCUGAAGCUUCCCUUCAUAUGUCAUGUGCUGCUGGCAGAGCUGAGAGCUGGGGGAAGAGUGAUUUUACAGCACAGUGACAUUAUCCCAGACAUUCUCCAUUCUCCUGGAACUGUGUGUUAGGAAAAAUAGGUGGGUGACACUGCAGUGCAGUUUCCCUUCCUUGCUGAGGAAUAUGCUGGCCUGUUCGAAAUGUUGGAACUGGAUGAUGCUUCAGUCAUGCCAUGGUGUGAGAACACUCACUGUACUCAGACCGAAUCAUCCUGCCCUGA